Molecule: long non-coding RNA, 221 nt
Filed under: Theobroma cacao (cacao)
Lineage: Eukaryota; Viridiplantae; Streptophyta; Magnoliopsida; Malvales; Malvaceae
Description: long non-coding RNA (TCAC_LNC003082)
Source: RNAcentral
CCCGAUCCUCACCCAUUACAGGCUUUGAUAAAAUUGGGUUCAAUUUGAGUGGGAGUCUUCAAUAGCCUAUGCAGAGGUUAUCACCUUACGAAAGCGUAGCUACUAAACCCCCUCUUAACAAAGGAUAUAGCCCGGUAGAAGGCUUAUGCAUGAAUGCAAGGUGUGUCGUGUGUGUGAAGGAACAUACCACCCUUUGAUCACAUCCCUUUAUCCUAAAUUCC